CGGAGGAAAAGAAACCAACAGGGAUUGCCUUAGUAGCGGCGAGUGAAGCGGCAAAAGCUCAAAUUUGAAAUCUGGCUCUUUCAGAGUCCGAGUUGUAAUUUGAAGAAGGUAUCUUUGGGUCUGGCUCUUGUCUAUGUUUCUUGGAACAGAACGUCACAGAGGGUGAGAAUCCCGUGCGAUGAGAUGAUCCAGGCCUAUGUAAAGUUCCUUCGAAGAGUCGAGUUGUUUGGGAAUGCAGCUCUAAGUGGGUGGUAAAUUCCAUCUAAAGCUAAAUAUUGGCGAGAGACCGAUAGCGAACAAGUACAGUGAUGGAAAGAUGAAAAGAACUUUGAAAAGAGAGUGAAAAAGUACGUGAAAUUGUUGAAAGGGAAGGGCUUGAGAUCAGACUUGGUAUUUUGUAUGUUACUUCUUCGGGGGUGGCCUCUACAGUUUAUCGGGCCAGCAUCAGUUUGGGCGGUAGGAGAAUUGCGUUGGAAUGUGGCACGGCUUCGGUUGUGUGUUAUAGCCUUCGUCGAUACUGCCAGCCUAGACUGAGGACUGCGGUUUAUACCUAGGAUGUG
This 560-nucleotide ribosomal RNA is filed under the name Candida tropicalis. Its description in RNAcentral is "eukaryotic LSU rRNA". It matches the Rfam family "Eukaryotic large subunit ribosomal RNA", at positions 51 to 622 of the family's 3401-position model. The record is from RNAcentral. Lineage: Eukaryota; Fungi; Ascomycota; Pichiomycetes; Serinales; Debaryomycetaceae.